This 334-nucleotide ribosomal RNA is filed under the name uncultured eukaryote. RNAcentral describes it as "partial 18S ribosomal RNA". It matches the Rfam family "Eukaryotic small subunit ribosomal RNA", at positions 1470 to 1796 of the family's 1831-position model. The record is from RNAcentral.
CCCUUAGAUGUCCGGGGCCGCACGCGCGCUACACUGAAGGAAUCAGCGUGGCUUUCUCCCUGACCCGAAAGGGUUGGGAAACCCGUUGAAUCUCCUUCGUGAUAGGGAUUGGGUCUUGAAAUUGUUCCCCAUGAACGAGGAAUUCCCAGUAAGCGCGAGUCAUAAGCUCGCGUUGAUUACGUCCCUGCCCUUUGUACACACCGCCCGUCGCUACUACCGAUUGAACGGUUUAGUGAGGGCCUCGGAUUGGUCUCGGCCCGCUCUUUACCGGGCGGCGCCGUUGGUCGAGAAGACGCUCGAACUUGAUCGUUUAGAGGAAGUAAAAGUCGUAACA